This 641-nucleotide ribosomal RNA is filed under the name Coelotrochus oppressus. Its description in RNAcentral is "Thoristella oppressa partial 12S ribosomal RNA". The stretch from base 173 to 641 matches the Rfam family "Bacterial small subunit ribosomal RNA", at positions 874 to 1384 of the family's 1533-position model. Lineage: Eukaryota; Metazoa; Mollusca; Gastropoda; Trochida; Trochidae. The record is from RNAcentral.
UUAAGAGGAAUUUAUUAAUAGAAGAAAGUCUGAUUUAAUUUAUAGAGGUGGAAUUUGUAUAGGUUAGUUUGGUUUUUUAUUUUCUUUAUUUUGAUGCCACGAAAAUUUAGUAUGAGACCGGGAUUAGAUACCCCGUUAUUUAUUUUUUAAACUUUGAUUGGUUUGAUUUACUUGGGGAUUACGAGCAUAUUUACUAGUAAUUAAUAGAAGAUAUGAAGCUUAAAACUCAAAAAACUUGGCGGUACCUUAAUUCCUUCCAGGGGAACCUGUCCUGUAAUCGAUGGUCCACGUUUUAGCUUACCUUUUUUUGUAUUUCGGGAUUAAAUUGAUUCCCGCUAACAGUUUGUAUACCGUCGUCGUCAGAUUAUCUUUAAGAGAAAAAGAAGUUGUCAGUAGAAGGAAAUAUGUUGUUGUUUGCUGGUUUAUUUGUAGAGUUUAAAUUUUGUGAAAUUUAUUCUAUGCUGUAGAUAAUAAGUAUAUUCUUUUGAUGUCAGAUCAAGGUGCAGCUUAUAAAAGGGUAGAGAUGGGUUACAAUAGUUAUUUCCUAUACGAAUUUUGUCCUGUAAUGGAUAAUUGAAGGUGGACUUGGGAGUAAUAUAGUAUAAACAGUGAGUUUGUGUGAAUAUGGUACUAAGGUGUGU